Long non-coding RNA from Brassica napus (rape), 1175 nucleotides. RefSeq lists it as uncharacterized. The record is from RefSeq and is a predicted model, not a curated record. NCBI's taxonomy places the organism in Eukaryota, Viridiplantae, Streptophyta, Magnoliopsida, Brassicales, Brassicaceae. The transcript has 2 exons.
UUUACCCUCCAAGACACAUUAUGAGUUAUCAAUUACAUAUAAAGACACAUUGAGUUAAGAGAACACUUUCUUAUGUUCAUUUGUCUGAAUUGCCCUUCAACUAAAAAGAAGAUGUCAUAACAUGUGUCAAAAUUAUUUUCAAUAUAAUUCCAUUUAACUUUCACCUUUUAGUUUCAUAUUUUUUAAUUCCCUAAACUUAAUCAUGCCUCCAUCUAUCGUCAUCUUCAUCUCUCAUCUUUCGUAUCCUUCUAAAUAUUCUUCUACUUCACUAAAUUUGUAGAUUUUUUUUUUUAUAAUUCUAAAUUACUAAUUUUUGUUGUCGAAUCUUUAUCUUUCACCACUUUAUUUUUUAAAUCUCGAAUUCAUGGAAACUUCAGAUUGGGAGCUAAGGAAAGUCGAUUCUGAAAUUUCAGCUUGGGUGAUUCUAGAUCUUCGCCGACGAAUACAUCCAAGACAGCAAAGCCGAUGUAUCUCCUGCAACAUUUGAUUCACAUGUCGCCCAUCCUUUUCAUGUCCAUCAAUUUCCUUGUCCACAAAUGAACUAUCCACAAAGCUGUCUUGGAUCUAAGUUUGAUUCACAUGUCGCCCAUCCUUUUCAGUGGAUUAGCUCGUGAUUUUCCGUGGAUGAACUUGGGAUUCGACGUGGAUGAACUCGAGGUAGUUGCCUUGGAUCUAAGUUUUUUAUCUCUUCAUGGUGGCUUCUGUUGCAGAGAGAAAGCUCUAAAAGAAACAAUGGUCAAAUUACUCUAUUUUACACAUAUAGUCCUCCCAUUUUUGGAUUUUUGCAAUUUGACCCCAACAUUCUUUAAUUUACUUAUAGAUCCUCUUGAUUUCGUCUCAAACUUUUAAUUAUGUACUUUACGUAAGAAUAAUUUUCUUAUCAACUCAUAUCCACACUUGCUAUGUCCAUUAAAUAUUAUUUAAUAAAAUAAAAAUUUAUAAAAUAUCAAAAAUAUAUAUAUGGAUACAAAUAUAUUUUGUCCAUAGAAACUUGUCCACAAAAACAUUAUAACAUUUUUGUGUCCACAUAAAUUAUGUCCACAGAAGCUUGUCUACAUAAAUUACGUCCAUUGAAUUGCGUCCACACAAAAAGCUUAAUCCCUUUCUCUCUUUCAAAACGUCACAAUACAAUAUGUUCUCUAGAUGGAUUAUCUUCAAACAAACAACACAAACCC